ACACGGCUCUCGGCAACGGAUAUCUAGGCUCUCGCAUCGAUGAAGAACGUAGCAAACUGCGAUACUUGGUGUGAAUUGCAGAAUCCCGUGAACCAUCGAGUCUUUGAACGCAAGUUGCGCCCGAAGCCAUUAGGCCGAGGGCACGUCUGCCUGGGCGUCACGCAUCNCGU
RNAcentral lists this ribosomal RNA (170 nucleotides) under Hoya ciliata. RNAcentral's name for it is "5.8S ribosomal RNA". It matches the Rfam family "5.8S ribosomal RNA". From Rfam's summary of the family: 5.8S ribosomal RNA (5.8S rRNA) is a component of the large subunit of the eukaryotic ribosome. It is transcribed by RNA polymerase I as part of the 45S precursor that also contains 18S and 28S rRNA. Functionally, it is thought that 5.8S rRNA may be involved in ribosome translocation. Lineage: Eukaryota; Viridiplantae; Streptophyta; Magnoliopsida; Gentianales; Apocynaceae. The record is from RNAcentral.